Zingiber officinale is the source of this 2968-nucleotide RNA transcript. It is a transcript of the gene named metal transporter Nramp5-like, with no coding region annotated. The transcript has 7 exons. The record is from RefSeq and is a predicted model, not a curated record. NCBI's taxonomy places the organism in Eukaryota, Viridiplantae, Streptophyta, Magnoliopsida, Zingiberales, Zingiberaceae.
UCGACAUGUUCGGUGCUUACUAGUGGUUCAGCUUGCGACUAGCAGGGUCUUCAGCUCGGGCUCUUUGGUCGACUCGCUGACCUGUCGCCGAUAUAGCACUACAAGAAAAUCCUCAUUCAACAACACUCAAACGACAACAGUUUUAUGCCUUGUUUUACCUUUUAACAACGGUUUUAACAAAAACCGUUGUCUUUUAGUAGUUUUUUUGGCCUACGACAACGGUUUUUAAAAACCAUUGUCUAUUUAUGCUUUUUUGAGACUACAACAACGGAUUUUAAAGGCUACGAUAACAGUUUUUGAAAACUGUUGUCUAUUUGUGUUUUUUUUGUGAUUACGACAACGGUUUUUGAAAACCGUUGUCUAUUAAGUGAUGUUGAAUACUGGAGUUUUUUUUUUCCUUCGUCGUUUUCCCCCUUUGCCAAUUUUUGCCGCCGCGUUUUUUCUUUCCCUCUCCCCAAAAUUUUUUACCGCCGCAUUCCCCCUUUACCUUCUCGAUCCCUAAGCAUUUCCAUCUCUCUUUCCUCACAAUCUCUCACUCACUGGAGCAAUGCAGGAGCAGCAGCAGCCGGGAAGAGCAAUCGCAGGGCGACAGCGAGGGUCUAGAUCAUGGGAGCGUGUGCAACAGAUCCGACCACGGAGGAUGACGUCGGGGAACAAGGCAGCGACCUAUGAUCGACGCUAGACGAGACUCGCCAGAGAUCGACCAUGGCAUCUUUCACCCUGCUCCACUCCUCCUCGCCUCCUUUUUCUUCCCUCCGACGGUAGUCAGUCACUUACGGUUCUGUUACUUUCCACUACUGUCUCUUCGUGUUUUCAUUCCGCCAUCGUCUUCCUCUUCAUCGAUCAAUCAUGGCAUCUUCCACUGUCAUCGGAUUCAUGGGGCUCGACGAGCUCGGCUUAGAGAUAGCUUCCUUGCUUGUCAAGUCCGGGUUUCGCCUCCAAGCAUUCGAGAUGGUCGAGUUGUCUCUGAUGAGCAGGUUCGUGGAGUUGGGCGGAGUGAAGUGCGCAAGCGCUAUGGAAGCUGCAAUGGGUCAGUGAGUAAUAUUGUUUUCUAUUACUGGUUCCUCCAAGUUGUACUAUGAUCUAGUUGCUAGAGAAUGGUUAUUAACCCUUUUCUAGUGAAGCGACUUGUGAAAAAUAUCAACAUGCAUUGCUGUUGAAGCAAGGAAAAACCUGGCCAUCCAAAAAUGUUUGUUAAUUUGGGAGAGAGCACUUCCUCAAUAUAAUCAGCACAAUCCCACUAUUCCAUGUGAGAUUAUGGGUGUGGUGUACCUUAACUUCUAUAGUUUCCCUUAUGCUCAUCAAUGACUUAGAGUUUGGCUAACUGAGUUGGAGCAAUUCCAUUCAAAAUGGCUACUCACUUGAGAUUGAAAUGUAAGCACUAAGGGGAUUGCUGCACUCUUCCACGUGGAACAAUGGGCGAGGAGCAUCAAUCCCCUCAUGCUCAUUUAAAGUCGUAGAGAUCGAGCGGAUCGAAUAAAUACUUGCAAUGCCGAAUGGAAAGGUUAGUUUGCAUCUAGUUUAGCUUUUUCCCUCUUAAUGGAACAUUCUUAAGAUAGAAAUGAGUGCAAAAUAAGUCUCUUAAUAUCUUAGUUGUCUCGGAAGAAGUCUAUUGUGUCACUUGUGUUGGGCUACUGUAUAAUUUGAAUACUUAAUUCUAUAUUUUUCCCUCUGCUUGACGUUAUAAUUGUUCCUCUUUGAAAGUGCCCUUAAUCUUAGUCCUUCAUCUCCUAUUGACUUUAUUCACAGAUUAUUAGUCUUGAUGAAACGCAUACCUCUUGGGCGCUUGACAAAUAAGUAGAUUAGAAAUCUUUGUUUUCUUAAACACACUAAUAGUUUUAUUUUGUUUCCAGAAACUUGAUGGUGAAACAAGACCUAUUAGAGCUUAGUUUAUGCAAUGCUACAACAGAUUUAUCCGAGAAUCCCUUGAUCCUUCCUUUGAGAUAAUAAUUGUUGAUUAAGAAUCACCCACUAGUGGGAAUUACAUGAAGCCCUUGAUCAAGUUGUAUUCACUGUUGCUUGAAUAAGUUGAUUAAAGUUGCAAGUUGAGCCUGCACUUUCACUAAGACUAGAAAUUUUAUCCUUUAAUCAAGUAGUAGCUUCUUGAUGGAGUUUAUUUAGCAUAUGAAACUCAUUUAAGAUUUAUGUCUGUUGUUCAAUGCUUUUUUGACCUCAUACUUGUUAUAAUUUUUGGUUUAUAAUGCAUUGGACCUUAUUUAACAUUGUUUAAAUUUUAAAGUGUGUAUUUAAAUAGAUAUAUAACAAGUAGCUUUAUUGAAGAAACUAUAGUGCUAAAGAGGGACAUUAUUGCAGUCAUUCAAAGGUUCAAUAUCCAAGUUAGCAAUUUGACUCAAGAUGUCCUUGGAAAGUCUAGUUCAACUGUUUAUGCCAUUGCAUUGUUAGCCUCUGGACAGAGCUCUACAAUAACUGGUACAUACGCUGGGCCAUCAUGCAGGAUUUUCUAAACAUGAAGAUGAAAAAUGGCUGAGGAAUCUCAUGACUCAAUCAAUCGCAAUCACUCCAAGUCUCAUCGUGUCCAUCAUCGAUGGUUCCUCAGGAGCCGGACGGCUCAUCAUAAUCUCAUCGAUGGUACUAUCAUUUGAGUUGCCAUUUGCACUCUUACCUCUUCUCAAAUUCAGCAGCAGUCAAACAAAAAUGGGACCUAAUAAAAUCUCAAUAUAUAUCAUUGUGGUGUCAUGGAUUCUUGGUUUGCUUCUGGUAGCAAUCAACAUCUACUUCUUAAGCACCAGCUUUGUCAGUUGGAUCAUUGAUAGCAGCCUACCAACAGUUGCUAAUGUUCUCAUCAGCAUCAUUGUUUUCCCUCUCAUGGCAGUGCACAUUCUUGCUGUGAUCUACUUAACCUUCAAGGAGACUGAAGUAACAUUCGUCGACCCAUUCAAUUCUUCACAUGUUAACAUAGAGAGUGGUGGUUCAUUUCAAGUUGAUGGAAUGAGUAUAUCUGAAGUUG